This is a non-coding RNA of Hemicordylus capensis (graceful crag lizard), 70 nucleotides long. The record is from the annotation of a RefSeq genome assembly. NCBI's taxonomy places the organism in Eukaryota, Metazoa, Chordata, Lepidosauria, Squamata, Cordylidae.
GGCCAUAGCUCAGUGGUAGAGCGUCUGCUUCACAUGCAGAAGGUCCUAGGUUCAAUCCCUGGCAUCACCA